CAGGUGCUUCAUGAAGUAAUACAUCCGAGACUGACUGUGCUUGGUUGUGUGAAUAGCCCACAGGACGCACAGAUUGCCUGUCAGCGCGAGAAGCAGCACAAGGACCAGAACGGGAUUUUGGAGCACCACUGUCCUCAUCACUCGCUGCCUCCAGUUUGAUGUCUGAUCUACCGAAGCUCUGCUUGCUACCAGUCAGUAACCCCCUCCCCUCGUUUCAUUUUCCUUCGAAGGAAACUGCUUACUUGGAAGCCUGACAGUGGGCCCUGCGACAGCUUGGCAACCUGUCCAGGGUGGACCAUGCCUCUCGUCCUGUGGCAACUGGGAUGAGCUCCUUCCCCCUGGUGACCCUGAAUUUAGAAAAUUGAUGGAUGGAUGAUCUUACAGUGGCCGACUGCAUCAAACCAGAUAUGUGAAUAAAAAUAAACCAAUGUGUGAUUUUAGAUAAAACAUUCAUA
This is a long non-coding RNA of Oreochromis niloticus (Nile tilapia), 455 nucleotides long. RefSeq lists it as uncharacterized. The record is from RefSeq and is a predicted model, not a curated record. The transcript is spliced from 3 exons. Lineage: Eukaryota; Metazoa; Chordata; Actinopteri; Cichliformes; Cichlidae.